RNAcentral lists this long non-coding RNA (861 nucleotides) under Chinchilla lanigera (long-tailed chinchilla). RNAcentral describes it as "lncRNA (ENSCLAG00000022384.1)". The record is from RNAcentral. Lineage: Eukaryota; Metazoa; Chordata; Mammalia; Rodentia; Chinchillidae.
CAAUGGCUUGCUUGUGUAUAUUUAGUUCUUAUCCUGUUUCAGGGAGACAUGGAGACAGCCCUAGGGUUCAGGCUUUUGCCCACCUCUCUCCUAUCUCUGUGUUUCUAGUUCCAACACAAUCUGUCAUCUUCUUUGUUCCAUCCUUAUUUUUCUUUUCCUCUCGUCUCUGGCAGGAGGUGGCCUGUCCGUUACCGCAGCUGCCACACGCCUGGGCCCCCACUGUACCCAGGCCUCUCCCCUGGCUGAGGCAGGGAGUGCACAGCGCUGCUGCCAACACGUGCUCCUGCGCCAGGCAGCGGUGUGUCCGUCUGUGCACAUUUCAGCUGGCGCUUCCCAGGACGGGGCGGACACUUCCGGUACCGUCUGUUACUGCCUGCGCAGGGCACCAGUUGGAGGUCUCACUUCCUGGUCUAACGGUUGCUGAGGUUUUCUGUGAUGAUGAUGAUGGGAAAACUGAAGCCAGAUGGAGCCCUCUCUCCUGACGGGGAGAAGAAGUAAGGAAAAAAGAAAGAGAAGAAGGAGGAAGGGAGGAGAGAGUGCCAGUGGCUGCAGCUUAUCCACGUGGCUUGCCUCGGGCGCCCAGUGUUCCUGAGACUGGGGCAGCUUCUUCGUGUGACUCGCCUCAGCACUGUGUCCUUGAGUCUGGCCUUGCUCCAGCCCCACAUGUGUGAGCGAUCUCCAGCCUCACCGCUCCCCACAUCUCCUGCUUUUCUGUUUGGUAGUUACAGGUGAUGGGUGGUCAGUUGGCAUUGGAGGAGCUGGGUUUGGAGGAUUCUGUAGAAGACCUUUGCAUUUUUGAUCCCUUUUCCUUCUAGAUGAACUUGCUUGAUUCAGGCUAAAGAUUCCCAGUCCAAAGAUUUU